Long non-coding RNA from Lagopus leucura (white-tailed ptarmigan), 1708 nucleotides. RefSeq lists it as uncharacterized. The record is from RefSeq and is a predicted model, not a curated record. The transcript is spliced from 4 exons. Lineage: Eukaryota; Metazoa; Chordata; Aves; Galliformes; Phasianidae.
UUACAUUUAACUCUAUUGGAAUCAACUGACUUGAUGCUGCUCCUAGAAUUACCAUUGCAGUUGUUUUUAACCUGGCAUCUUCAAAUUAAUUCUACAGGAGGGAACAGGUUACCUUCUCGCCAACUGCAACUUACACUGUUUUCCAUGCCAUUAGCCAAAGAAGAUGUCGUGUCUCUCAAAGAAGCAGAAAAACAAACCAACCUUGCACCUAUUUAGUGUUUUAAUAUGGUAUACAACGUUAAGGAAAAUUAUAAAACAUUUUCAGAUUUCUAGAAUGAGACACUGGAAAUUCAGACCUCCUACUGGCCUCUCCGAUACUUCAAAGCAGAGCUGAAGCAUUUCUGAAAAAAAAUAUCAUGAAAUCAGCAGUUCUGCUACUAUGGAAGAAUGACAAUAACCAAUGAAAAGUCAACAUUGGGAAGAUCUGUGUGUGAUGGUCCUGAAUGAGAAGCUGAGAUGCACAUGUAUGCAUUUGUGCUCACAGAAAUUGACUAUUUCAACUUUUGAGUCUUCACUUUCAUUUCAUUUGUCCAAGUUUCUCUAGUUAACCAUCCUUCAUCUGAAGCUUUCUGUGUACAUUUAUUUAGAUUUUAUUACCAUUGUAAGUACUGAUUGGGAAAAUAUUUAACUUCAGUAUGCCCAGAAAGCCAAAGGAAGUUUUACAUCUCAUUGAGAACAUUUUCUGUAUGUUGGAUCUUUUUCACUUUAUUUCUCCUAAUGAACAACUUCUCUAAAGAAACAUAUUUCUAACAGAAACUCUUGAAAAGCUUUAGAACUAUUCUGCUAGCAGUAAUUCCUUCUGUAAUAAGAUAAGAAUGGAAAUGUUAUUCUGUGACAAGAAUAUAUUUUAAAGGAAUUCUUGUGACUCCCAGCUAUCAUGUUAAUGGUCAUCAGAAGAACAACUUCACAGAGGAGAAGAGAUGAAAUAAAGACUUUCUAUCACAAAUGUAACUGGGAAAACAAUGGCCAUAUUCUUCUUGAGAGAGUGCUCCAGUAAAUCUUUUAUCUUUGUGAAUGCAGAUGACCUAUGCAAUGCCUUUUUUUUUUUUUUUUUUUUUUUCAUAUACUGGCCUUUCUAAUGUCUUACAUACUAGUGUUACUUUUUCCUUACAUGGAUAAGUAUAAUGAUGACAACCUUAAAGAUGGGGCAUGAGUGGUAAAAGCACCACUAACUUCAGAUGAAAACCAUCUGCUUUGAAGGAAGACAUCAAAUACAGGUCUACCACAUCUAAUCACAACUACAGCCAUUAGACAUUCAUAUUUGACACACUUAAACUCAGUUUAAAUGUCUGGAGCUAUGUUGUCAUGAGGUAAAAAAAAAAACUGUCAAAUGGUAAAGAAUAAAUGUCUUCUACAAAAGAUCUAUUGCUGCAUGGAAAGCAUUGGCUAGGAAAAAUACACGGCUAUUGAAGUAUAAAUUUUGUAUAUAUAACUAUAUACAUAUACUAUACGUAUAAUAAUACAAAUAACAAUAUAAACAUCAUUAUGGACACAUAAGAUAAUCUGAUAGAUCUUUUUGCAUUGUUUCCCAAAGAGCUGCACAAAAAGAUACACUUUCAAAAUAUUGUCUUCUAAAUGUAUUUGUAUCUGCAUUUAGGACUACAGCAAAAUCUUCAACCUGUCAAAACGCUAUUUGCAAAUGUAUCUUAAAUAACACCAGAACCACUUUAAAAUAAUUAAACCCCAGAAGUUACUCAGGAUUUGUACU